UCGCUAUAGGGAAGGAUGAUGCAGCGCUGCCCCGCGGCCUCGUGGGGUUUUAUUCCCUCCCCCGUUCCUCGGGGGGUAUCUGUAGGGCUGCAGUGCUCCCGUCCCAUUCACACGAGGGGUUCUGCGGGAGGAAAGGACAGCGGAUCUCCUGCCGGCCCGAAUCCUGCGCCGUCUUCUCCCCUUGGUGCUUCUCCAUCACCUGCAGCACGUCCUCCAGGAUGGACGGCCCCAAAUCCACGUGGAGGGAGAGGAGGGAGCCGGCGUGCGAGAGGAAGGGCUCGGGGCUGCUCUUCUCCUCCGAGAAACCGUUCUGUGGGCUGCAGGGACGCGGGACGGCAGCGGCGGCGGCGGCGGCUUUGUCAUCCAGGUGGAGCCGUGGGGGUUUUGGGGGUGCUUGGGCGGAAGGAAGGGUCAAAGCUUGCGGCCCCCCGAUGACGGGCAACGAAAUGGCGUUUUUGAGGAGGGGAGAGGAGGUUUCGGUCGCCUGCUGGCGGCCGGAGAUGGUGGCCGUCCUGGAGAACUCGAAGGGAGCGGCCUCGGGGCUGUCCUUGUCGGAAUGGAAGCCGCUCUCGGUCCUGGGGAGGAGGUGGAAUUUCCCCUGGAGGAAGGAGAUGUCCCCAAACAUGUCGCUUUCGCCGCCACUGCCGAUGUGGAUGGUGUGGCGGAAGUCCCCCAGCGGGGGGCUGAUCAUGUCGGACGAGAGGAUGUCGCGGAGCUUCUCCUUCUUGCCCUUCCUGCUGCCCCGCUUCAGGUAGAUGGGCGCCUUGGUGGACAUGGUGGUGGAUCCCGGCUGACGGACUGAGCGCCGAUCUGAGGAGGAAGAGGGGAAAAUCGGGCUGAACCUCAACACGUCCCAGGAGCUCUGCAACCUCACUUUGAAGAGCAAUCUGCAAUAAAAAGGAGGAGAAUCGGUAAGAAAGGCACUGAGAAGUGGGGUAUCCCAUAUGGGGCUGAACCUCAAUGCGGCCCGGGAGCUUUGCGAGGCCUCUUUGAAGAGCAAUCUGCAGUAAAAAGGAGGAAAGUUGGUCAAAGAAAAAGAAAAAAAAGGCUCUCCAAAGUAGAGGUUAAUAUUUAGGGCUGAAGCUCAGCGCAUCCCGGGAGCUCUGUGACGUCGGUUUUAAGAGCAAUCUGCCAAAAAAAAGGAGGAAAAUUGGUAAAAGUUAAUGCUCAAAAGCAGAAUGCAGCAUUAGGGCGGAACCCCAACGCAAUCUGAGCCCCGAGUUUUGCAGUUUUCCCCCUCAUUUGUCCAUUUUCAACCCUUAUUUGUGCACUUUUAACCCCGUUUCUGCCAUUCUAACCCCAAUUUAUGUAUAUUUUCACCCCAUUUAUCCAUUUUCAGCCCUCAUUUACGCACUUUUAACCCCAUUUAUGCGUUGGAGGAGCUCUGUGAUGCGGCUUUUGAAGCCGAUCUGUGACUACCGGGAGGAAAAUGGGUUGAGAAGGACACUCCAGAGUAGGACAGAACCUCACCACGGCCCUAAACCUUCACUGCACUGAACUGAAAGGCAGCCUGCAAAGAGGAGGAGGAAAAGGGGUAAAGAAAGAGGAGGAAAAACAGUAAAAAAGAGGAGGAAAAUCGCUAAGAAAAGGCACUCGAAAGUAGAACUGAACAUUUAGGGCUGAACCUCAGCGCGGCCCAGGAGAUGAAUUCCAGCUGCUCUCUAUCUCGCCUCCAUUGGCUGCGUAAUUGAUAACGAAACGAGCUGGUAAUUAGUUCCAGACACGCAACGCCUCGUUAAAGGCUCUAUGGAGUGGUUCUGAUGUGAGAAAAAUCCGGAAUCCAGCAGGAUUUGGGGCCUGGAACUCAAUAUCAGAAGGUCUUGGGGUCGAAUCCAAGGUUUCGAAUCCGAGGUUUUGGGGGAAAACUCAGAGAUUUGAGGUCAAACGAAGGUGUCGGGUUCAAACCCAACGUCUUGAGCCCAUAGUUUGGGGGGAAAACCCAAAGAUUUGGGGUUAAACCGAGGUCUUGGGCUCUAACCCGUCUUGAACCUGAGGUUUUGGGAGAAAGCCCAAAUAUUUGGGGGGAAAUCCCAUAGAUUUGGGGUCAAACCAAGGUUUUGGGCUCACACCCGAGAUCCUGAACUUGAGGUUUUUGGGUAAAACCCAAAGAUUUAGGUUAAACCAAGGUCUUGGCCUCAAACCCAAGGUCUUGGAUGUGAGGUUUUAGGGCCUGGAAUUCAACCUCGGAGAGCAGCGUUGGCUUUUUUGAGCCAAAAAAAGGGGGAUUUUGGUUCAUCCCGAGUGACGGACGAUCCCCUUCCUCUCGGCCGUCCGCAAUCCGACCGCACCCACGCUUAAAACACCCAACACAGAUGAAGGGGAAGGAAACUGUGAUGGGGUUUUUUUUUUUUUUGCUCUGUUUUUACCGAAAUCCAACAGUUUGCGUUUCUCGGGGUGAGUUUUCAAUAGAAGAGUGAAGAAACCAAAAAUGGGCUUUUUUUGGUCCCAAAACCCCCCCCCCAAAAACGUUGGGGUGGAAUGAAUGGAGGGUUUCCUUGGCUGACUGAGCCCUGAUUAUUAACAGCCCUGAUUACUAAUUGCUCUGAUUGUUAACGGCCCUGAUUACUAACAGUGCUUCUGCUUCUUAUUUCUUAGGAAGAAAAUCCCAUUCUUUGGCCCUUAUAUGAAGUGGAUCCAUUUCAGCGGUGGCUGUGGGACCAAAGCUGAGGUUUUUGGGGUGAAAUCUGAAGUUUUGGGGUCAGAGCCGAGGUUUUGAACCCGAGGUUUUGGGGGAAAACCCAAAGAUUUGGGGUCAAACCAAAGUCUUGGGGUCAACCCAAGGUUCUAAGCCUGAGGUUUUGGGGGAAAACUCAAGUUUUGGGGGGAAAUCCCAAAGAUUUGGAGGUCAAACCGAGGUCUUGGGGUCAAACCCAAGGUUCUGAACCUGCUGUUUUGGGGGAAAACCCAAAGUUUUGGGGGAAAUCCCAUGGUUUUGGGUACAGAACAGAGAUUUUCAACCCCAAA
This is a long non-coding RNA of Gallus gallus (chicken), 2964 nucleotides long. RefSeq lists it as uncharacterized. Lineage: Eukaryota; Metazoa; Chordata; Aves; Galliformes; Phasianidae. The record is from RefSeq and is a predicted model, not a curated record. The transcript has 3 exons.